Molecule: ribosomal RNA, 254 nt
Filed under: uncultured bacterium
Lineage: Bacteria
Description: partial 16S ribosomal RNA
Rfam family: Bacterial small subunit ribosomal RNA
Source: RNAcentral
UACGGGGGGAGCAAGCGUUGUUCGGAUUUACUGGGCGUAAAGGGCGCGUAGGCGGCGUGACAAGUCACUUGUGAAAUCUCCGGGCUUAACUCGGAACGGUCAAGUGAUACUGUCGUGCUAGAGUACAGAAGGGGCAACUGGAAUUCUCGGUGUAGAGGUGAAAAUUCGUAGAUAUCGAGAGGAACACCGGUGGCGAAGGCGGCCUCUGGACGAGUUACUGACGCUGAGACGCGAAAGCGUGGGGAGCAAACAGG